RNAcentral lists this ribosomal RNA (955 nucleotides) under Staphylococcus sp. RNAcentral's name for it is "bacterial SSU rRNA". It matches the Rfam family "Bacterial small subunit ribosomal RNA", at positions 10 to 947 of the family's 1533-position model. Lineage: Bacteria; Bacillati; Bacillota; Bacilli; Caryophanales; Staphylococcaceae. The record is from RNAcentral.
AGUUUGAUCCUGGCUCAGGAUGAACGCUGGCGGCGUGCCUAAUACAUGCAAGUCGAGCGAACAGACGAGGAGCUUGCUCCUUUGACGUUAGCGGCGGACGGGUGAGUAACACGUGGGUAACCUACCUAUAAGACUGGGAUAACUUCGGGAAACCGGAGCUAAUACCGGAUAAUAUUUAGAACCGCAUGGUUCGAUAGUGAAAGAUGGCUUUGCUAUCACUUAUAGAUGGACCUGCGCCGUAUUAGCUAGUUGGUAAGGUAACGGCUUACCAAGGCAACGAUACGUAGCCGACCUGAGAGGGUGAUCGGCCACACUGGAACUGAGACACGGUCCAGACUCUACGGGAGGCAGCAGUAGGGAAUCUUCCGCAAUGGGCGAAAGNCUGACGGAGCAACGCCGCGUGAGUGAUGAAGGUCUUCGGAUCGUAAAACUCUGUUAUUAGGGAAGAACAAAUGUGUAAGUAACUAUGCACGUCUUGACGGUACCUAAUCAGAAAGCCACGGCUAACUACGUGCCAGCAGCCGCGGUAAUACGUAGGUGGCAAGCGUUAUCCGGAAUUAUUGGGCGUAAAGCGCGCGUAGGCGGUUUUUUAAGUCUGAUGUGAAAGCCCACGGCUCAACCGUGGAGGGUCAUUGGAAACUGGAAAACUUGAGUGCAGAAGAGGAAAGUGGAAUUCCAUGUGUAGCGGUGAAAUGCGCAGAGAUAUGGAGGAACACCAGUGGCGAAGGCGACUUUCUGGUCUGUAACUGACGCUGAUGUGCGAAAGCGUGGGGAUCAAACAGGAUUAGAUACCCUGGUAGUCCACGCCGUAAACGAUGAGUGCUAAGUGUUAGGGGGUUUCCGCCCCUUAGUGCUGCANNNAACGCAUUAAGCACUCCGCCUGGGGAGUACGACCGCAAGGUUGAAACUCAAAGGAAUUGACGGGGAUCCGCACAAGCGGUGGAGCAUGUGGUUU